RNAcentral lists this ribosomal RNA (446 nucleotides) under uncultured bacterium. RNAcentral's name for it is "SSU rRNA". It matches the Rfam family "Bacterial small subunit ribosomal RNA", at positions 26 to 518 of the family's 1533-position model. The record is from RNAcentral.
AGAACGAACGCUGGCGGCAGGCUUAACACAUGCAAGUCGAGCGCCCCGCAAGGGGAGCGGCAGACGGGUGAGUAACGCGUGGGAACAUACCCUCCGGUUCGGAAUAGCUCAGGGGAAACUUGGAUUAAUACCGGAUACGGCCUAGCGGCGAAAGAUUGAUCGCCGGAGGAUUGGCCCGCGUCUGAUUAGCUAGUUGGUGGGGUAAUGGCCCACCAAGGCGACGAUCAGUAGCUGGUCUGAGAGGAUGAUCAGCCACAUUGGGACUGAGACACGGCCCAAACUCCUACGGGAGGCAGCAGUGGGGAAUAUUGGACAAUGGGCGCAAGCCUGAUCCAGCCAUGCCGCGUGAGUGAUGACGGCCUUAGGGUUGUAAAGCUCUUUCGCUAGGGACGAUAAUGACGGUACCUAGACAAGAACGCCCGGACUAACUUCGUGCCAGCAGCCGC